GACAACGUGGCCGAGCGGUUAAGGCGUUAGACUUGAAAUCUAAUCUCCUCUGGAGUCGUAGGUUCGAACCCUGCCGUUGUCG
RNAcentral lists this transfer RNA (82 nucleotides) under Homolaphlyctis polyrhiza JEL 142. Its description in RNAcentral is "tRNA-Ser (TGA) (tRNA-Ser-TGA-1-1)". It matches the Rfam family "tRNA". From Rfam's summary of the family: Transfer RNA (tRNA) molecules are approximately 80 nucleotides in length. Their secondary structure includes four short double-helical elements and three loops (D, anti-codon, and T loops). The record is from RNAcentral. Lineage: Eukaryota; Fungi; Chytridiomycota; Chytridiomycetes; Rhizophydiales.